RNAcentral lists this ribosomal RNA (460 nucleotides) under uncultured bacterium. Its description in RNAcentral is "partial 16S ribosomal RNA". It matches the Rfam family "Bacterial small subunit ribosomal RNA", at positions 338 to 795 of the family's 1533-position model. The record is from RNAcentral.
CCUACGGGGGGCAGCAGUGAGGAAUAUUGGUCAAUGGACGAGAGUCUGAACCAGCGACGUAGCGUGAAGGAUGAAUGCUCUAUGGGUUGUAAACUUCUUUUAUAUGGGAAUAAAAUGUUCCACGUGUGGGAUUUUGUAUGGACCAUAUGAAUAAGGCUCGGCUAAAUCGGUGCCAGCAGCCGCAGUAAUACGGAGGAUCCGAGCGUUAUCCGGAUUUAUAGGGUUUAAAGGGAGCGUACGUGGAUUGUUAAGUCAGUUGUGAAUGUUUGCGGCUCAACCGUAAAAUUGCAGUUGAAACUGGCAGGCUUGAGUACAGGAGAGGUGGGCGGAAUUCGUGGUGUAGCGGUGAAAUGCUUAGAUAUCACGAAGAACUCCGAUUGCGAAGGCAGCUCACUGGACUGCAACUGACACUGAGGCUCGAAAGUGUGGGUAUCAAACAGGAUUAGAUACCCCGGUAGUC